This 442-nucleotide ribosomal RNA is filed under the name uncultured bacterium. Its description in RNAcentral is "partial 16S ribosomal RNA". It matches the Rfam family "Bacterial small subunit ribosomal RNA", at positions 338 to 795 of the family's 1533-position model. The record is from RNAcentral.
CCUACGGGUGGCAGCAGUGGGGAAUAUUGGACAAUGGGGGGAACCCUGAUCCAGCGACGCCGCGUGAGUGAAGAAGUAUUUCGGUAUGUAAAGCUCUAUCAGCAGGGAAGAAAGAAAUGAGGUACCUGACUAAGAAGCCCCGGCUAACUACGUGCCAGCAGCCGCGGUAAUACGUAGGGGGCAAGCGUUAUCCGGAUUUACUGGGUGUAAAGGGAGCGUAGACGGCGAUGCAAGUCUGAAGUGAAAGGCGGGGGCCCAACCCCCGGACUGCUGUGGAAACUGUAGUUCUUGAGUACUGGAGAGGCAGACGGAAUUCCUAGUGUAGCGGUGAAAUGCGUAGAUAUUAGGAGGAACACCAGUGGCGAAGGCGGUCUGCUGGACAGCAACUGACGCUGAGGCGCGAAAGCGUGGGGAGCAAACAGGAUUAGAUACCCCUGUAGUC